Non-coding RNA from Lasiosphaeria miniovina, 89 nucleotides. Lineage: Eukaryota; Fungi; Ascomycota; Sordariomycetes; Sordariales; Lasiosphaeriaceae. The record is from the annotation of a RefSeq genome assembly.
AAAUUUAUAGUAUCGUGGUCAGUAUAUGAGCUUCUCAUGGUCAUCAGUUGAUUCCGCUCGGGACCCAGGUUCAAUUCCUGGCGGGAGAG